Molecule: ribosomal RNA, 423 nt
Filed under: uncultured bacterium
Lineage: Bacteria
Description: bacterial SSU rRNA
Rfam family: Bacterial small subunit ribosomal RNA
Source: RNAcentral
UAAGGAAUAUUGGGCAAUGGACGCAAGUCUGACCCAGCCAUGCCGCGUGAAGGACGAAGGCCCUAUGGGUUGUAAACUUCUUUUGUAUGGGAAUAAACCCAGAUACGUGUAUCUGGCUGAAUGUACCAUAAGAAUAAGGAUCGGCUAACUCCGUGCCAGCAGCCGCGGUAAUACGGAGGAUCCAAGCGUUAUCCGGAUUCAUUGGGUUUAAAGGGUGCGUAGGCGGAUUUGUAAGUCAGUGGUGAAAGCCAACAGCUCAACUGUUGAACUGCCAUUGAUACUGCAAGUCUUGAGUACAUUUGAUGUGGGCGGAAUGUGUCAUGUAGCGGUGAAAUGCUUAGAUAUGACACAGAACACCGAUUGCGAAGGCAGCUCACAAAACUGUAACUGACGCUGAGGCACGACAGCGUGGGGAUCAAACAG